UCAAGUUCAGUUUUGACAGAUUGAUCGUAUAGCCAAGCUCAACUUGUUUAGGAUUGAAGCAUAGAAUGGAGCAUCAUGGUUUUGUGAGAAUUAGAAUAGCUAACCUCAACCUGUUUAGGAUUGAGGCAUUGUUGUUAUUGCAAUCCUAACUGCAUUAUUGAAAUCCAGCAUUAAAAGGAUGGAAAUGUUAGUAGUACUUGAAGAGAAAUAUCUUUUGUUCAAUAAACAACUUAGAAGUAAAUUCUCAUCUUUAAGAAGUUUCUUCAUUCAAAAUAACUAAUUUUUAACUGUUUAUAUACCAAAGAAUGAACUGUUUAACUAUAUAAAAUUGUAUGGUUUCUUGUCAUUAUUACUCUUACACUCUGACUAACCAGUCCUGAUUUCAAUAUUAUGUUCUUGAAAUAGCUGUUCACAGGAUAAAACUUACCCGCACUGGGUGUACAUAUCAAAUAAAUACAUACAUGUCAUGUGUUUAAAUUUAUAGUUCAUUUUAUUUAAUCAUAAUUAAUUAACAUGUGUUUUACUUCAUUAAAUCACAUAAUUAAAAAAAUCGCAUUAAUUAAGUAUAUACACCCAAUGCGGAUAAGUUUUUUUGAGGUUUUAAUGAGUUAUUUGCUUUUCAAACUGAUUGGUUUUUCUCAUUCAAAGCGAAAUAAACAAGUACAACAUUUAGAUUUCAGGUUUUUCAAUAAAUUGUUUUGCUAGAUAUGAUAAGUUAUUUAUAAUUAGAAGUGUCAAAAAUGAGCCCAAUUAUAGGUGAUUCGUUCAAAAUUUUAAGGGUUGAGCUCAAAAUAAUUUGAGUUGGGGUCUAUCUCAACUCAUUCAAACCUUAACUCAUUUUAAGGGCAUCUCCAACCCAAUCCCCUAUUUUACUCUCCAAAUAUAGAGUUCUCUAUUUUUUUCCAGACAACCAACUCCAACCCAAUUCUCUAUUUUACUCUCUAAAAAGGAAUCUUUUUCUCUCUCCUCAAUAUUAUAUUAUUAUUUCUAUUUCAUUCUUAUUUUCUUAUUUCAUAAUAUAAAUCCUUUAUUUCUUUUUUCCAAAUAAUUACUUUAUAUAAUUUUUAAUGUGAUAUAAAAUUAUUUUUUAUUCUAAAUUUUUAAAUAACAUAAAUUGCAAGAAAAUAUAAUAUAAUACAUAAAAUUAGGGGAUAAAAUUCAAAUAAAAGUGACAUACAAUUACAUAAACACUCAAUUUUCAAAAUUAUUACGUUGCUCGCAUAAAUGCUCUAUUAAUGCAUUACGGAGUUCAAUAUGAGCAUUUUUGUCCUUAAUUUUUUUAUGUCUAGCUAAAAAUUGUUCAAACCGGAGAUUUUCAUCUAUCACCAUUUCUAUAGUUGGAGUUGGAGCCUCUACGGAAUCUUGAAUUGGUGCAUUGAGAUCUGUUGUGCAGUAUAAUACAUGUAGUCAUUAUAUCAUGUAGCACUUCCUUUCUCCAAAAACGUGACAGUCCUGCAAUAAUUGCAAAACUCCGAAUGCACGUUCAACAUCUUUUCGGCACAAUUCUUGUUUCAUCGCGAAAUAUUUCUUUUGUUGGGAAUGAGGAUCACGAAUAGUUUGAACAAUUGUAGACCAUUUAGGAUAUAUAUCAUCAGCUAAAUAAUAACCCAUAUUGUAUAUCAUCACAACUGUAGUCACAACUACAAUCACAACAAUUCUUGAAAACAUAUCCUAAUUUUUUUCUGAAUAGUGCUAAAUCUGGAAACGACCUACCAUAUUUCUAAAUUAUCGUUGUGAUCAAUUAAUUAUUAUGCUAUGUAUUGUAUUUUAUCUUGUAUUUAAAUUAUUAUGUUAUGUAUUAUAUUGUAUUGUUAUCUUGUAUUUAAAUUAUUAUGUUAUGUAUUAUAUUGUAUUGUUAUCUUGUAUUUAAAUUAUUAUGUUAUGUAUUAUAUUGUAUUGUUAUCUUGUAUUUAAAUUAUUAUGUUAUGUAUUAUAUUGUAUUGUUAUCUUGUAUUUAAAUUAUUAUGUUAUGUAUUAUAUUGUAUUGUUAUCUUGUAUUUAAAUUAUUAUGUUAUGUAUUAUAUUGUAUUGUUAUCUUGUAUUUAAAUUAUUAUGUUAUGUAUUAUAUUGUAUUGUUAUCUUGUAUUUAAAUUAUUAUGUUAUGUAUUAUAUUGUAUUGUUAUCUUGUAUUUAAAUUAUUAUGUUAUGUAUUAAUAUGGUCUAAGUGAAUCAUCAAUUGAACCCAAUUUAAUCUCCAAUUUCAACCCGUUUUAAGACUCUUUAUUUGCAUUGAUGUAAUGUAUUGAAGGUGUGAAUUACUAUCUAUUUUAUAUUUUUUAGAAUUUAUCUAUCAAUUUGUAACUUCUUUUCUCUUGUGCAUCUUUAUGGUUAUAUCGUCCUUAAGAAGGAUGCGACGGGAAGAAGUGGCAUUUCACAACUAGAAAAUGGUAAAUUACUUAGAGAUUUUACUUGGGGAUUAUUUUCGUAGAAAUUUCCUACGAAUUUUCAUGGGGAAAUAAGAAAUUCCUAAAUUUUAGUUUUUUUACAUGGGGAAAAUAUUUCCCUAGAAAAAUCGGUAGGUAAAUUUGGCGACAUUUUCGUAAAAUUAUUACCUGAGAAAUUAUUUGGGGAAACCGAUUGCAAGUAUCAUUUUCAUAAGUAAAUUCGCAAGUAAUGAUUUUUUUUUAAAAAAAAAAUCUAUUUAGUAUGAAAAUCGCUAGAUAAAAUUAUUUGCAUAUUUAGCUAGGAAUAAUUACUUGAAAAUUUAUCUAGAAGUAAUUUUAUAUCUGAUAUUAUCUGGGGGAUUUAUGUUCCACGAAUUUUGUUGGAAAUUUAUUUCUUGAGGAUUUACUUGAAAAUUUUUUUACUUGAAGAAUUAUUUGGGGAUUUUAUUUGUGUGAAUUUGGUUGAAGAUUUUUAGAGGAAUUUACUUGAAAAUAUGCCUACUUGAAUUAUUUUUUAAAUAUAAUUUGACUAUAAGUUUUUUUCUUGGAAUUUAAGAAUUAUUUUUAUUUGGUCUUUGAGAAAUAUUUUCUUAAAAAUAUAGUUAACAAAAUUAAAAAUUAUAAAAAUAUAAAAAUAAUAAUGAAAUUAGAAUGACUUUGUUUGUUAAACAUUUACUCUACUUUCUGGUUAAAAUCAAAUGGCUAAUUAUCUAUUCAAUAGAAAAAUAACUAUAAAAAUACAAUUAAUUUUAAAUUAAGAUUAUUUUAUAUUUAAUCGUGUACUAUUGAACAAGACAAGCACUAUUCUUAAGUAGAGAAAAUUUGAUUAUAUUCAUUACUAAUGUGAAGUUUGAUUAACCCGAUCAUUAAUAGAAUUAUAUUAAAUAAAAAAUAAAAUAAUUUUUACUUGUAUAUCCAAUUGAUAUUUAUUUUUCGCAAGCAUUAAAAUUAUAUAAUUUCUCUAUAGUAAGUUAUUAAAUGAUAUUUAUUUACAAAUAUUAUAUAAUUAAGUAUGUUAAAAUAUAAUUAUUAAAAUAAUAAAUGCCACAAAUACCAAAUAAGAUUCUUUUGUCAAGUAAUUUACCUGUGAAAUUUAAUUCUCUAGGUAAAUUAUUUGUGGAUUUUAAAAUCCACAGGAAAUAAUUAUCUAUGUGGCACCACCACAAAUCAUGAUUUCCUUUUAGUAUAUAUAUAUAUAAAGAGAAUUCCUACGUGGCACCACCACAAAUCAUGAUUUCCUUUUAAUUUAUUUAUUUCCAAAACUAGUCUUCCCCUUUCAUGAAAAGUUGUGACUUUUAUGAAGAAUUGCGACUUUUAUGAAAGUUUGUAUCCUUCGCGAAGCGUUGUAACUUUUCGGAGUUGUGACAUUUCUAAUAAGGCACAAUAAACAUUUGUUUACACUACCCUUUGUUGUCUAUAAAUAGAGGGAUUUCCUUUCAUUUUAAAACAACAUAAAUUCUAAACUUCUUCUUCUUCCUCUUCUACAUAAUUAAGUAUUUGUGUACUUGGUCAUGUUGAGUGGCUCACUAACACCAUUGUUUUUUUAUCAAUACACUAGUGAAUAUAAUUGUGUUAUCAUGAGAGGAUCGGAACUAUUCCUUUAAAACUCAGUACUAGAUGAGAAUAAAUCCUUUAAGGGGGGACAUUGUACAUUCAACUGUGAACUCGAUUUUUUUCUUUUUGUUUCAUUCUAUUGUUACAGAUCUUGGCAUAUUUUUUUACGGUCAUUAAUUUGUGUUAAUGAUAUUAAUUGUUCUUUUUGAGUACAUGUCCCUAAGGAUGUGGGCAAAAUGCACUAUCCCUUUACUCCUCCAAUAUUUAAUUUUGUUCAUCUCCAUUCUAAUCUUCCAUGGAGUCUCCCAUCUAUUCUUCAAUCAUAUUGAUCAUAGAUAGUGAAUCUGACUCUAUUAGAACUGGAGUCCUUUGUUGUUCAAUACAGAAUCUAACACCUUCUUGAAUAGAUGUAGCUUCUGCACAUAAGCUGUUAGUUACCCCUAAUCUUCUUGCUUCAGCAUAUAUCAAAUCCCCAUUAGCAUCUCUCAAACAAAAAGCUGCAGAUUUUUUAGCUAAUGAAGUUUUUUCUUUUGCAGGGACAGAAGAUCUAAAAUACAAUUGUUUCCAAGAGUUACCAUUGCAAGCUAGAAGGUUACUCAACAUCGACAAACAACAAAUCCCACAACUAAGGCUCAACACAUUCAGAAAUAGGGAGCCAGAUUGAUGUUAAUUAUUCAAAUUGUAAAACGGGCAGACAAAUACAUCACAUAAAAAUCAGAAGCAAAGAUUCAAUACAGCAAAACUUCAAACUACAUGUAGCCAUCUUUUUGAUUGAUUUUAUUUGACCGAUGUACAAAUAACAAAUUUACUAAGUGUGGUAUUAGUCUUGUAUUAGGCUCAUUCCAUUGUAAAUUUUUGUUUGAACAAAAGUUAAUUAAAUUCAAUUGAGUUUUGUCUUCAGCUCUAUAGAGAAAAAGUUAGAAAUACCUUUUGAGUCAUCGCAUAGAAAAGCUGAUUAAGUUCAACUUCAUCUUGGAUUUUGAUUUCACAGCGUCUGGUGAGAGCUUUGAGACCGCUAAACUUGGAAUCGAACCAGGAAAUCAACUCAAUCUUGCAUUUAAGGAAUGAUUCAAGUUAGAUCUAGCUAACUAUUGAAGUUUCGACCAGUGACGAAGAGAAGUUCAAGAAGACUACCUUCACGAUUUUCAAAACCGGCGAGCUUGCCUUCGAUUAUCUUCAUUGGUGGCUGUCUUGCUCCGGCGUGGUUGAUCGAGAAGCUGUGUUCUUGACAUUUCCUUUUCUUGCCUUUGUCUUUUCAUUUUCCUGUUCGUCUC
Molecule: long non-coding RNA, 5212 nt
Filed under: Solanum tuberosum (potato)
Lineage: Eukaryota; Viridiplantae; Streptophyta; Magnoliopsida; Solanales; Solanaceae
Description: long non-coding RNA (STUB_LNC009444)
Source: RNAcentral